GAAUCGCUAGUAAUCGCGAAUCAGAAUGUCGCGGUGAAUACGUUCCCGGGUCUUGUACACACCGCCCGUCACACCAUGGGAGCCGACAACGCCCGAAGUCAGUGACCUAACCGAGAGGGAGGAGCUGCCGAAGGCGGGGUUGGUAACUGGGGUGAAGUCGUAACAAGGUAAC
RNAcentral lists this ribosomal RNA (172 nucleotides) under uncultured bacterium. Its description in RNAcentral is "partial 16S ribosomal RNA". It matches the Rfam family "Bacterial small subunit ribosomal RNA", at positions 1329 to 1500 of the family's 1533-position model. The record is from RNAcentral.